UCCAGUGCAAGCGAGUCUCCUGCCUUAGCCUCCUGAGUAGCUGGGAUUACAGGGAGUGGACAUGCAGAUUGCCUCCAUACCCUCCGACUACAGGAAAUGCUGAAAUUAAUCAUCUCAUACAUAUCCCUUUAUGGGCCAGUUUGACAGUUUCUUAGGCCACCGAAUUUCUGGGUCAUAGGAUAUGAGUUUACUUGACUAAGUGGUGCCAAAUUCCCUCCAGAUUGGUUGUACGAGUCCAGACUUCCACCACUAUGGAAUGAGAGUUUCCAUAUCCCACAUCUGCAUGAACACAGCACUGUGUAGCUCUCUCAUAGUUAUCAGUCUAAAAGUUAUAAAGUAGUAUUUCUUUGUAGUAUUAAUGUGCAUUUCUCUGAUUGCCAGUGAUUUUGAAUAUCUUUUAUGCUUGUUAGCUUUUUCAGCUUCUUUGUUUGUAAAUUGCCUUUUGUACCUUUUGUUAAAAUGUAAUUGGGAUUAGUCUUUUUCUUGUUAAUUUGCAAAUGUUUCUUACAUUUUCUAGAUAUUAGCUCCCUGACAGUUUUAGAACUCUGCUGAUACCCUCUUAUGUAUUCUGUUUAUUAUAUUUUUUAUUAAAUAGAAAUACUUAUUUUAA
Chlorocebus sabaeus (green monkey) is the source of this 610-nucleotide long non-coding RNA. RefSeq lists it as uncharacterized. Lineage: Eukaryota; Metazoa; Chordata; Mammalia; Primates; Cercopithecidae. The record is from RefSeq and is a predicted model, not a curated record.